RNAcentral lists this ribosomal RNA (253 nucleotides) under uncultured bacterium. Its description in RNAcentral is "partial 16S ribosomal RNA". It matches the Rfam family "Bacterial small subunit ribosomal RNA", at positions 524 to 776 of the family's 1533-position model. The record is from RNAcentral.
UACGGGGGGAGCAAGCGUUGUUCGGAUUUAUUGGGCGUAAAGGGCGCGUAGGCGGUCACGCACGUCCGUUGUGAAAUCGCUCGGCUCAACUGGGCGGGGUCAGCGGAUACGGCGUGGCUGGAGCAAGCUAGGGGGCAAUGGAAUUCCCGGUGUAGUGGUGGAAUGCGUAGAUAUCGGGAGGAACACCAGUGGCGAAGGCGGGUGCCUGGAGCUUUGCUGACGCUGAUGCGCGAAAGCGUGGGGAGCGAUCCGG